UACAAAUGACAUGUCUUGUUGUA
RNAcentral lists this non-coding RNA (23 nucleotides) under Arabidopsis thaliana (thale cress). The record is from RNAcentral. Lineage: Eukaryota; Viridiplantae; Streptophyta; Magnoliopsida; Brassicales; Brassicaceae.